GGGCCCGCACAAGCGGCGGAGCAUGUGGAUUAAUUCGAUGCAACGCGAAGAACCUUACCUGGGUUUGACAUGCACCAGACAUCCCUAGAGAUAGGGCUUCCCUUGUGGUUGGUGUGCAGGUGGUGCAUGGCUGUCGUCAGCUCGUGUCGUGAGAUGUUGGGUUAAGUCCCGCAACGAGCGCAACCCUCGUUCCAUGUUGCCAGCGGGUUAUGCCGGGGACUCAUGGGAGACUGCCGGGGUCAACUCGGAGGAAGGUGGGGAUGACGUCAAGUCAUCAUGCCCCUUAUGUCCAGGGCUUCACACAUGCUACAAUGGCAAGUACAGAGGGCUGCGAGACCGUGAGGUGGAGCGAAUCCCUUAAAGCUUGUCUCAGUUCGGAUCGGGGUCUGCAACUCGACCCCGUGAAGUUGGAGUCGCUAGUAAUCGCAGAUCAGCAACGCUGCGGUGAAUACGUUCCCGGGCCUU
RNAcentral lists this ribosomal RNA (465 nucleotides) under uncultured Pseudonocardia sp. Its description in RNAcentral is "bacterial SSU rRNA". It matches the Rfam family "Bacterial small subunit ribosomal RNA", at positions 917 to 1382 of the family's 1533-position model. The record is from RNAcentral. Lineage: Bacteria; Bacillati; Actinomycetota; Actinomycetes; Pseudonocardiales; Pseudonocardiaceae.